UCCCUGGAGGACUAGUGGUUAGGUUUCAGGGCUCUCACUGCCGCGGCCCGGGUUUGAUUCCCGGUCAGGGAA
Molecule: transfer RNA, 72 nt
Filed under: Pangasianodon hypophthalmus (striped catfish)
Lineage: Eukaryota; Metazoa; Chordata; Actinopteri; Siluriformes; Pangasiidae
Rfam family: tRNA
About the family: Transfer RNA (tRNA) molecules are approximately 80 nucleotides in length. Their secondary structure includes four short double-helical elements and three loops (D, anti-codon, and T loops). Further hydrogen bonds mediate the characteristic L-shaped molecular structure. tRNAs have two regions of fundamental functional importance: the anti-codon, which is responsible for specific mRNA codon recognition, and the 3' end, to which the tRNAs corresponding amino acid is attached (by aminoacyl-tRNA synthetases). tRNAs cope with the degeneracy of the genetic code in two manners: having more than one tRNA (with a specific anti-codon) for a particular amino acid; and 'wobble' base-pairing, i.e. permitting non-standard base-pairing at the 3rd anti-codon position.
Source: Rfam by way of RNAcentral